This 230-nucleotide long non-coding RNA is filed under the name Vigna radiata. Its description in RNAcentral is "long non-coding RNA (VRAD_LNC013432)". Lineage: Eukaryota; Viridiplantae; Streptophyta; Magnoliopsida; Fabales; Fabaceae. The record is from RNAcentral.
GUGUGAUGAGAAAUUUGAUAUUAAAAGAAUACUAUUCAGAUACCUAAACUGUUUUAAAAUGUUCAGAAAGUUUUUUAUUUUUUUUUCAGUUAUUUAAAUUUUAAAAUUUAUAAUCAUAAUCAUCGCAUUUUUACACUUUUGAAGUUACAUUUUUUUAUUUUUACUAUUAGUAAUAAUUUUUUAAAAUAAUUAUAUGUUUGGUGAAUAUAAUUAAUUUUUGAUAAGUUUUU